CCUACGGGUGGCAGCAGUGAGGAAUAUUGGUCAAUGGGAGAGAUCCUGAACCAGCCAAGCCGCGUGAGGGAAGACGGCCCUAUGGGUUGUAAACCUCUUUUGUCGGAGAACAAAACCCGGGACGUGUCCCGGACUGCGUGUAUCCGAAGAAAAAGCAUCCGCUAACUCCGUGCCAGCAGCCGCGGUAAUACGGAGGAUGCGAGCGUUAUCCGGAUUUAUUGGGUUUAAAGGGUGCGUAGGCGGUCCGUUAUGUCAGCGGUAAAAUGGCGGGGCUCAACCCCGUCGAGCCGUUGAAAUGGGCAGACUUGAGUUGGCGAGAGGUACGCGGAAUGCGCGGUGUAGCGGUGAAAUGCAUAGAUAUCGCGCAGAACGCCGAUUGCGAAGGCAGCGUACCGGCGCCAGACUGACGCGGAGGCACGAAAGCGUGGGGAGCGAACAGGAUUAGAUACCCCAGUAGUC
Molecule: ribosomal RNA, 459 nt
Filed under: uncultured bacterium
Lineage: Bacteria
Description: partial 16S ribosomal RNA
Rfam family: Bacterial small subunit ribosomal RNA
Source: RNAcentral